UUCCUCUCGAGUGUGGUUUUAUGUUUUGGGUUUUUCUGAUGUGUUGUUUAAAGAAGAGUGAAUGGCGUGCGCUAUUUGGAGAAAGUUACAAACAGAAUUUAUGCAUUUGUAGUGAAAAUGAAUAGAUCCACAACAAUUAUUUUAUUUCUUUUCAAAUGCCAAUAAAUAAAUAUUACUUAGUAUAGUACUACUAGUAUUUAGUUAGAAAAACAAAUAAUUUCUUUUUUGGGAUCGGAAUCGGAACAAAUAAUAGAUGAAUAAAAAGAGAAAACCGCGGCAAAAAGAAGAUCAUCGCGGAUCCGGAUCCGAUGGGGUUUAAUAAUUCCCAGCGUGAUGGAGUUGAUUCGUGAGAUACAGAAUGAAUACAAGUUGCCGAGAAAGUGGUACCAUAGAUUCAACCAAGCUUCGAUCUGAAGAACCAUCCAAUGCUGAAACUCACGGUAAGGAUUCCGGAUUAUCUAGAUCGAUUAAGAGUUUCGCAUCCUUGGUCGGGUUUUUGUUCGACGUGAAUGGCCAGUGGUGUGAUGAUUAUAUUGAGGAGAUCAUUCAAUUAGCGAUUCUCAAGCUUCGGUGGAUUAAUAAGGAUCAGAUCCCAACCCAAUCGUCGUCAACGUUUUGAAAACAGGGGUGCAGCGGUUUUUAAUUCUUUCUUAUUGUUUCUCAAAUUUGCAAAAUUGAUUUAGUCAAAAAAAUAAAUCUGAAGGCUAUCAAUAUGAAUUGAUCUAUUUGUAUUUAUUGGGGGAUUUUAGCCUGGAUGAAUUGUCAUCUUUUUGGUAAUGGUGUAUUCCUCUUUUUAAUGUGAAUUGAGUUUGUCAAA
Salvia splendens (bonfire salvia) is the source of this 817-nucleotide long non-coding RNA. RefSeq lists it as uncharacterized. NCBI's taxonomy places the organism in Eukaryota, Viridiplantae, Streptophyta, Magnoliopsida, Lamiales, Lamiaceae. The transcript has 2 exons. The record is from RefSeq and is a predicted model, not a curated record.